CCUACGGGUGGCAGCAGUGGGGGAUAUUGCACAAUGGGGGAAACCCUGAUGCAGCGACGCCGCGUGUGGGAAGACGGUCCUCUGGAUUGUAAACCACUGUCCCCAGGGACUAAGAUGACGGUACCUGACUAAGAAGCCCCGGCUAACUACGUGCCAGCAGCCGCGGUAAUACGUAGGGGGCAAGCGUUAUCCGGAUUUACUGGGUGUAAAGGGAGCGUAGACGGGGAUGCAAGUCUGAAGUGAAAGGCGGGGGCCCAACCCCCGGACUGCUUUGGAAACUGUAUGGCUGGAGUGCAGGAGAGGUAAGUGGAAUUCGUGGUGUAGCGGUGAAAUGCGUAGAUAUUAGGAGGAACACCAGUGGCGAAGGCGGCUUACUGGACUGUAACUGACGUUGAGGCUCGAAAGCGUGGGGAGCAAACAGGAUUAGAUACCCCUGUAGUC
RNAcentral lists this ribosomal RNA (441 nucleotides) under uncultured bacterium. RNAcentral describes it as "partial 16S ribosomal RNA". It matches the Rfam family "Bacterial small subunit ribosomal RNA", at positions 338 to 795 of the family's 1533-position model. The record is from RNAcentral.